RNAcentral lists this ribosomal RNA (460 nucleotides) under uncultured bacterium. RNAcentral's name for it is "partial 16S ribosomal RNA". It matches the Rfam family "Bacterial small subunit ribosomal RNA", at positions 338 to 795 of the family's 1533-position model. The record is from RNAcentral.
CCUACGGGUGGCAGCAGUGAGGAAUAUUGGUCAAUGGACGAGAGUCUGAACCAGCCAAGUAGCGUGAAGGAUGACUGCCCUAUGGGUUGUAAACUUCUUUUAUAUGGGAAUAAUAUGUUCCACGUGUGGGAUUUUGUAUGUAUCAUAUGAAUAAGGAUCGGCUAACUCCGUGCCAGCAGCCGCGGUAAUACGGAGGAUCCGAGCGUUAUCCGGAUUUAUUGGGUUUAAGGGGAGCGUAGGUGGAUUGUUAAGUCAGUUGUGAAAGUUUGCGGCUCAACCGUAAAAUUGCAGUUGAAACUGGCAGUCUUGAGUACAGUAGAGGUGGGCGGAAUGCGUGGUGUAGCGGUGAAAUGCUUAGAUAUCACGAAGAACUCCGAUUGCGAAGGCAGUUCACUGGACUGCAACUGACACUGAUGCUCGAAAGUGUGGGUAUCAAACAGGAUUAGAUACCCGAGUAGUC